CGGGGCAGUGGAGACAGGUGGUGCAUGGUUGUCGUCAGCUCGUGUCGUGAGAUGUUGGGUUAAGUCCCGCAACGAGCGCAACCCUUACCUUCAGUAGCCAGCACAUAAUGGUGGGCACUCUGGAGGGACUGCCGGGGACAACCCGGAGGAAGGUGGGGACGACGUCAAAUCAUCAUGCCCCUUAUGGCCUGGGCUACACACGUGCUACAAUGGCGUAAACAGAGGGAGGCAGCCCCGCGAGGGUGAGCAAACCCCAAAAAUAACGUCCCAGUUCGGAUUGCAGUCUGCAACUCGACUGCAUGAAGCUGGAAUCGCUAGUAAUCGCGGAUCAGAAUGCCGCGGUGAAUACGUUCCCGGGUCUUGUACACACCGCCCGUCACACCAUGGGAGUUGGUAACGCCCGAAGUCAGUGACCUAACCGAAAGGGAGGAGCUGCCGAAGGUGGGACCAGUGACUGGGGUGAAGUCGUAACAAGGUAGCCGUAUCGGAAGGUGCGGUUGGAUCACCUC
Molecule: ribosomal RNA, 509 nt
Filed under: uncultured bacterium
Lineage: Bacteria
Description: bacterial SSU rRNA
Rfam family: Bacterial small subunit ribosomal RNA
Source: RNAcentral